CGCCAUAUCACGUUGAAGCACCGGGUCCUGUAUGAUCACCGAAGUUAAGCAACAUCGGGUUUGGUCAGUACCUAGAUUGGUGACCGCUUGGGAAUACCAUGUGCU
Molecule: non-coding RNA, 105 nt
Organism: Acanthosepion pharaonis
Lineage: Eukaryota; Metazoa; Mollusca; Cephalopoda; Sepiida; Sepiidae
Source: the annotation of a GenBank genome assembly